Lynx canadensis (Canada lynx) is the source of this 102-nucleotide small nuclear RNA. Lineage: Eukaryota; Metazoa; Chordata; Mammalia; Carnivora; Felidae. The record is from Ensembl.
GUGCUCACUUAGGCAGCAUAAUAUGCUAAAAUUGGAACAAUACAGAGAAGAUUAGCAUGACCCCUGCACGAGGAUGAACGCAAAUUCAUGAAAAACAAACUU